Molecule: ribosomal RNA, 2890 nt
Filed under: Stenotrophomonas maltophilia
Lineage: Bacteria; Pseudomonadati; Pseudomonadota; Gammaproteobacteria; Lysobacterales; Lysobacteraceae
Description: 23S ribosomal RNA
Rfam family: Bacterial large subunit ribosomal RNA
Source: RNAcentral
GUUAUAUGGUCAAGCGAAUAAGCGCACACGGUGGAUGCCUUGGCGGUCAGAGGCGAUGAAGGACGUGGCAGCCUGCGAAAAGUAUCGGGGAGCUGGCAACAAGCUUUGAUCCGGUAAUGUCCGAAUGGGGAAACCCACCCGCUUGCGGGUAUCCUGCAGUGAAUACAUAGCUGCUGGAAGCGAACCUGGUGAACUGAAAUAUCUAAGUAACCAGAGGAAAAGAAAUCAACCGAGAUUCCGUAAGUAGCGACGAGCGAACGCGGACUAGCCCUUAAGCUGAUUUGGUUCUAGGAAAACGCUCUGGAAAGAGCGGCCAUAGAAGGUGAUAGCCCUGUAUCUGAAAGGGCCAUUUCAGUGAAGACGAGUAGGGCGGGGCACGUGAAACCCUGUCUGAACAUGGGGGACCAUCCUCCAAGGCUAAAUACUACUGACCGACCGAUAGUGAACCAGUACCGUGAGGGAAAGGCGAAAAGAACCCCGGAGAGGGGAGUGAAAUAGAACCUGAAACCGUGUGCGUACAAGCAGUAGGAGCUCCGCAAGGAGUGACUGCGUACCUUUUGUAUAAUGGGUCAGCGACUUACUGUUCGUGGCAAGCUUAACCGUAUAGGGGAGGCGAAGGGAAACCGAGUCUGAUAAGGGCGCAUAGUCGCGGGCAGUAGACCCGAAACCGGGUGAUCUAGUCAUGCCCAGGGUGAAGGUGCGGUAACACGCACUGGAGGCCCGAACCCACUCCCGUUGCAAAGGUAGGGGAUGAGGUGUGAUUAGGAGUGAAAAGCUAAUCGAACCCGGAGAUAGCUGGUUCUCCUCGAAAGCUAUUUAGGUAGCGCCUCAUAUGUAUCCUCUCGGGGGUAGAGCACUGUUAUGGCUAGGGGUCAUCGCGACUUACCAAACCAUUGCAAACUCCGAAUACCGAGACGGACUGUAUGGGAGACACACGGCGGGUGCUAACGUCCGUCGUGAAAAGGGAAACAACCCAGACCCACAGCUAAGGUCCCAAAUUUUGUGCUAAGUGGAAAACCAUGUGGAAAGGCACAGACAGCCAGGAGGUUGGCUUAGAAGCAGCCACCCUUUAAAGAAAGCGUAAUAGCUCACUGGUCGAGUCGGUCUGCGGGGAAGAUUUAACGGGGCUAAGCACAGAACCGAAGCUUGGGGUGCAUACUUUGUAUGCGCGGUAGAGGAGCGUUCCGUAAGCCGUUGAAGGUGGAUUGAGAAGUCUGCUGGAGGUAUCGGAAGUGCGAAUGCUGACAUGAGUAACGAUAAUGCGGGUGAAAAACCCGCACGCCGAAAGCCCAAGGUUUCCUUGCGCAACGUUAAUCGGCGCAGGGUGAGUCGGCCCCUAAGGCGAGGACGAAAGUCGUAGUCGAUGGGAAGCAGGUUAAUAUUCCUGCACCUCGCGUAAGUGCGAUGGAGGGACGGAGAAGGUUAGGUGUACCAGGCGUUGGUUGUCCUGGGGAAAGGCGGUAGGUUUGGAUCUUUGGCAAAUCCGGGAUCCUCUAAGACCGAGCACCGAGACGAGCCUUUAUGGCAAAGUCACUGAUACCACGCUUCCAGGAAAAGCUCCUAAGCUUCAGCUUACGCAGACCGUACCGUAAACCGACACAGGUGGGUAGGAUGAGAAUUCUCAGGCGCUUGAGAGAACUCGGGUGAAGGAACUAGGCAACAUGGCACCGUAACUUCGGGAGAAGGUGCACCCUUUUUGGUGGCUCGUGCGAGCUAUAGCUGAAGAGGGUCGCAGUAACCAGGCCGCUGCGACUGUUUAUCAAAAACACAGCACUCUGCAAACACGAAAGUGGACGUAUAGGGUGUGACGCCUGCCCGGUGCUGGAAGGUUAAUUGAUGGGGUCAGCCGCAAGGCGAAGCUCUUGAUCGAAGCCCCAGUAAACGGCGGCCGUAACUAUAACGGUCCUAAGGUAGCGAAAUUCCUUGUCGGGUAAGUUCCGACCUGCACGAAUGGCGUAACGACAGCGGCGCUGUCUCCACCCGAGACUCAGUGAAAUUGAAAUCGCUGUGAAGAUGCAGCGUUCCCGUGGCAAGACGGAAAGACCCCGUGAACCUUUACUAUAGCUUUACACUGAACGUUGAGUUCGUCUGUGUAGGAUAGGUGGGAGGCUAUGAAACCAUGGCGCUAGCUGUGGUGGAGCCAUCCUUGAAAUACCACCCUGUCGUGCUUGACGUUCUAACCUGGGCCCAUUAUCUGGGUCGGGGACCGUGUAUGGUGGGUAGUUUGACUGGGGCGGUCUCCUCCUAAAGAGUAACGGAGGAGCUCGAAGGUACGCUCAGCGCGGUCGGACAUCGCGCACUGUGUGCAAAGGCAUAAGCGUGCUUGACUGCAAGAUCGACGGAUCAAGCAGGUAGGAAACUAGGACUUAGUGAUCCGGUGGUUCUGUAUGGAAGGGCCAUCGCUCAACGGAUAAAAGGUACUCCGGGGAUAACAGGCUGAUACCGCCCAAGAGUUCAUAUCGACGGCGGUGUUUGGCACCUCGAUGUCGGCUCAUCACAUCCUGGGGCUGUAGUCGGUCCCAAGGGUAUGGCUGUUCGCCAUUUAAAGUGGUACGCGAGCUGGGUUCAGAACGUCGUGAGACAGUUCGGUCCCUAUCUGCCAUGGGCGUUGGAGAUUUGAGAGGGGCUGCUCCUAGUACGAGAGGACCGGAGUGGACGAACCUCUGGUGUUCCGGUUGUCACGCCAGUGGCAUUGCCGGGUAGCUAUGUUCGGAAGCGAUAACCGCUGAAAGCAUCUAAGCGGGAAGCGCGCCUCAAGAUGAGAUCUCCCGGGGCACAAGCCCCUUGAAGGAACCAUGUAGACUACGUGGUUGAUAGGUCAGGUGUGUAAGUACAGCAAUGUAUUGAGCUAACUGAUACUAAUGAUCCGUGCGGCUUGACCAUAUAACCU